UUUAGUAUAAUAACUCUUUUAAGGAUUAUAACUUGGACUUCCAAUAUGUCGACAUUGAUAAACAGCCUCAAGUCAACUUUGUAAGAGCCCCGUCACCAUGAUGUGUCGCUGUGGUACGAAAGGAUUGGGAUCAAGUUAUGCAGAUUGUUGAGAGCAAUAUGAUGAGGGAAGGCAGGAAAGAGUACCUGAGUCUUAUAGUCUGUAUGUACUCAUGGCAAAAUGGUGUUCGAGUGGUGGCGAAUAAGGAUUUGCUUGCAGCAUUGAAGAACAAUAAUAUGCAAAGAACAGAAAGAAAGGUUCUCUUAACAUAGAAAGUAAAGAAAUAAUGAAGUUCACACUACAGUUGACAAUCUGGAUGUGUUUCCUUUGUUAUUUGAACAUGAUUUAUUUUAACUUAGGCCAGAGUUUUUUUAUCUUUAGAUUUACGGGAGAUUUUUCAAAAAGUUGGGUAAGGAGGAGGAAAUAAAAAUAAAAAUAAAAUGCAUAAAAUGUCCCGAAGGAGAAAUAAAUAAAAAUAAAACAGAUUUUUCUUCGAUUUUUUUUAUUUUUUAAAUCUUCUUAUAUCAUAAAGACAAAACACACCUUACUUGUGUCAGUUUUUUCAUAGGCUGAACAAAGGGUGAAAGAUCACCAUACAGUUUCAAAAGCAUAAUUAAAGAUCCUUUUAAAGACUGAAAAUAUUGACCUUAACACAGUUCAAGCGCUUAUUGAAAUUAAUGCACCAAUCAAUUGUAACCACGGCCCCUCAGGUCCGUGGAAUAGCGGGGACUUUGACUUUCGGUCAAGCCAACUCCGGGUAAAAUCCUCGCCCUGCGGGAACGAACUGAUGGUAAAAUCCCUGCCAAAUGCCCCCGCACCCCAGGGACCCUACGUAAGGCCCAUUCCCCGCUAUAUUUUGCGCGAAGACAAAACCACCGCAUUCACCCAGCUGCGGGGCCACCUGGAAGGUAAAAACAUGGCCCAUUUCCCCGGCUAUCCCCGGACCUGGGGUCGGGGGGUGGGGGUGCUGUGGUUACAAUUGACUAGUGCAUAAUUGUUAAGUAUAUAUUUGUUCAAAUGCAUCUAUGCAUUUAUGCAUACAUGUGAUGCAUGUAUUAUCAACCCAUUGAUUUUAUGAAACAUGUCAGUGUAAUAAAGAAGUUGAAAUGGCCAUUUCUAACCUGUUGCCCACAAUAUAAGCAUUUCCUUUUAAUAGUGAAGUGAUCAAACAUUGAACAAAGUUUAAGACACGGAAAGGAGGUCAAAUGGUUUUUUAUGUCUUUAACAUAUAGCACCGUGACCAUUUACUGUAAUGUGGUUUUCAUAUAGAAAUAUUACCAAAUAAAGUCUAAGCCCUGAUGGAUAUACCUAUUCAUUUCAAAGUUUGACAGGGCUUACGGAAGCAUAAACAGUCAAAAUCUGUAAACUACAUUAAUUUUAUAUACUUCACCAAAGAAAAUGAGCAUUAAAAUAAACUUGCCAAGUGUAAUAUAUUUCAAAAUAUCUGGUUAAAAACUGAUUUUAGAAUUGAUCCUGAACAAUAUCCUUCUAAUUCCAGCUAUUGGGAUGCCCUUUGACACAUGAGCAACUGAUCAGUUUGACUUCUUGCACUGACUGCCAAAUAUUAUCUUAUGUUCCAUUUUUUUCUGUCUGGUCGGAACAAACACAAUGUUAUUAUUAGCUCAUUUUCAGUAUUUUAUAAAUUCUUAUUAUUUAUUAAACAAAUUAACAACUACAAACGUAAGAAGAUACCUUGUGUUUUUCGCUUCAAAUAUGUGACCGUGAGGCAGUGUGUUCAAUGCUCCUCAGAGUCAAAUUCAGAAAUAUAUAUCUAUUUUGACUAUGAUGAACACGAUAUCAUUUUGCGGUUUGUGUUUGUCAGAAGCUUUGCAUAUUUGCGCUGUAAUCCAAUUCAUCCUUUUUAAUAUACGACGUGCGUCAACGACUUUUUUAUUUACAAACACAACCCACAAAUUUCUGUCUCCUUAUUUUGACCGGAAGUUGCGCAAUCAUUCCACGAAUCGCGAACAACAUACUAGAUCUACAAAAAAUGACAAUAUACACGCCUUAAGUUAAGUUAUCGACGGUUUGAUUUAAAUAAAGUAACAUAAAUAUCGGAACGUCUUGGUAGUAAAACCUUUCUAUAAAGCUGCAGAUAUUGCGAAAAAUAAGUGAUAUGACAUUGACUCGCUUCUUACACUUUUGACAGGACGUUGUUAUGGUUACGGGUACCUGUUCUGUUUCCCGCGUAUUUCCGACUGGUUUACGUAUUAUUGAAGUAAAAAGACCGAUAAUGAAUGACAAUUAGUACACCAGUUGCUUCUGAGAUAUGGGUUAUAGAACACUAAUUUUAUUUUAUUCGUAACAUUGGAUCAACGUUCGUCGGAAAAAAUAAAACUAGGAAAUUUUAUUUUAUUUUUAUUUGGGUUUUGCAAUAUUUAGGUACGGCGCUCCCGUAAAUCUAAAGAUAUGAAAACUCUGGCCUUACAUAGCAAGUAUGCACUACAAUAAUGAAUAUCUAUAUUAAUAGUAAUGAUAUUCUAUUAAACAUGGAUAUGGAAAAAAUAUUCUUUGACAGUGCAAGAUAAGAUAAAUCCAAACAUAGUGAAAGUCUUCAGUUAACUUGGAUGUGUUCCAUUUGUUUCAUCCACAUACUUGAAAUUUGUCUUGUAACUACAUGUAUUUUUAUGAGGUUAAGUGGUGAGUAAUCAACCUUUAUCAUAACAUUUUCUUAUUUGGGGAUAGUAUGUAUUUAUGUUGACACUGUGUACCUUCAUUCUCUUCAUUUUUCUGUACAAAACAAGACCAAAUGUGUCAUUUUAGUUUAACCAUUUUAAACUGUAUUUAUUAUACUCUUCAUUGAAUACCCAUUCGUAUAUUAUCAAACAUUUUAACAAAUUUAAAUUUGUUAUUUUGAUUAUAUUGUAUUGGUGUCAUAGGGUACAUGUACAUGUCCAUUCCUAGCCUUCAAGAUAGAACAGAUAUAUUCUUUGUUGUAAAAUGUGUUUUUUAUGCAUAUAUAUACAUAUAGAGUGGCUACAGAGAACUCAACAUUUUUCUUACAAAAUAUCUAAGAGUUUCCCUGCAUGUGAUUGCUACAUUCAGUGUACCUCAUGUUAUAUAAUACAUUAUAUAUGAUCAAUAAAACAGAUUAAGAACCAAAGCUGUUGCUAAAUACUUUUUAAAACCUGUAUAUUUACAAGACAAUACUGAGACUGUAUAGACACCAAUGUUUGUCCUAACUUGAAGAUGUAUUGAUUCCAAUGAUUGCCUUGAGUUGAGGCUGUGUAGAUUCCAAUGUUUGUCUUAAGCUGAGCCUGUAUAGAUUCUAAUGUUUGUCUUCAGUUGAGGCUGUAUAGAUUCCAAUGUUUAUCUUAAGGUGAGGCUGUAUAGAUUCCAAUGUUUAUCUUAAGGUGAGGCUGUAUAGAUUCCAAUGUUUAUCUUAAGGUGAGGCUGUAUAGAUUCCAAUGUUUAUCUUAAGGUGAGGCUGUAUAGAUUCCAAUGUUUAUCUUAAGGUGAGGCUUUAUAGAUUCCAAUGUAUGUCUUCAGUUGAGGCUGUAUAUAUUCCAAUGUUUGUCUUAAGCUGAGGCUGUAUAGAUUCUAAUGUUUGUGUUCAGUUGAGGCUGUAUAGAUUCCAAUGUAUGUCUAAAGUUGAGGCUGUAUUGAUUCUAAUAUUUGCCUUCAGUUGAGGCUGUAUAGAUUCCAAUGUAUGUCUAAAGUUGAGGCUGUAUUGAUUCUAAUAUUUGCCUUCAGUUGAGGCUGUAUAGAUUCCAAUGUAUGUCUAAAGUUGAGGCUGUAUUGAUUCUAAUAUUUGCCUUCAGUUGAGGCUAUAUAGAUUCUAAUGUUUGUCUUCAGUUGAGGCUGUAUAACGUUUGUCCAAAUUUUAGGCUGUAUUGAAUCCAAGAUCUCUCGAAUUUGUAACUUAUUAGGUUCCAAUACCUGUCUUAAUAUAAACUGUAUACGGUCCAAUGUUAGUGCUACGUUGGAGUUGAAAAGAGUCCAUUGUCUGUCCUACGGUGUAGCUGUAUCGAUUCCAAUGUUUAUAGAACUUAGGAACAGUGAGAUAUAAUUGUUUAUUUCCUCGAAAAGUAUUUAUUUUAUUUAAAAUUGUCAUCUUUUCUUAAUUAUUAUCUGAAAUCUCAACAAGAGCACCGCGAAACGGAGCAUUAUACGCCCGAAGAAGAUUCGGCUUGAGGUCUUUAAUAAACAUUUAGGCUAUAAAUGCUAGUAUACUGCUUACUAGGUGUGAAGUGUUUACAACAAAGGCUUAAACUUCCAAUAUUGAAACUUUAAUGAUACUUAAGUUAGCAGUGCCUGGCCUGGACAUGGAAUUGCUUACGUCCCCCCCAUGGUGAUUCUAGUGUUUGAGGUAUGGACCUGGAAAUUGCGCGCGACACAUCCUUUUAAUGUAAUGAUGCUUUGUAUAAAGUUAUUUGAAAAUGACUUUAUUAGUGACCAAGUUGUGGCACGGACACGGAUUUGCUAACGCACCCGCAUGGUGAUUCUAGUCUUUGAGGUAUGGACCUGGAAAUUGCGCGCGACACAUCCUUUUAAUGUAGUGAUGAUUUGUAUAAAGUUAUUUGAAAAUCGCUUUAUUAGUUACCAAGUUAUGGCCCGGACACGGAAGUGCUGACGCCCCCCCAGUGAAAUGAGCCUUUGAGGUACGGACCUGGAAAGCAUGCUUGACAAAUCCUUUUAAUGCAGAGAUGAUUUGUAUAAAGUUAUUUGAAAAUUGCUUUAGUGGUAACCCAGUUAUGGCCUGGACAUGGAAUUGCUAACAUCCCCCCCCCCAUGGUGAUUCUAGUGUUUGAGGUAUGGACCUGGAAAUUGCGCGCGACACAUCCUUUUAAUGUAAUGAUGCUUUGUAUAAAGUUAUUUGAAAAUGACUUUAUUAGUGACCAAGUUGUGGCACGGACACGGAUUUGGUAACGCACCCCAUGGUGAUUCUAGUCUUUGAGGUAUGGACCUGGAAAUUGCGCGCGACACAUCCUUUUAAUGUAGUGAUGAUUUGU
Long non-coding RNA from Mya arenaria, 4991 nucleotides. RefSeq lists it as uncharacterized. NCBI's taxonomy places the organism in Eukaryota, Metazoa, Mollusca, Bivalvia, Myida, Myidae. The record is from RefSeq and is a predicted model, not a curated record. The transcript has 4 exons.